This 396-nucleotide transfer-messenger RNA is filed under the name Pelolinea sp. It matches the Rfam family "transfer-messenger RNA". Rfam says of the family: Bacterial tmRNA, also known as 10Sa RNA or SsrA, is named for its dual tRNA and mRNA-like properties. The record is from RNAcentral. Lineage: Bacteria; Bacillati; Chloroflexota; Anaerolineae; Anaerolineales; Anaerolineaceae.
GGGGAUGACAGGCUUCGACGGGAGAGGCUGAACCCGAACGGCGAGCCGAGAGGUACCGACCUCGUGAAAUCAGUACAAAAAACAAGUGCCAAUCGCACUAACUACGCAACCCUGCCUUUAGCUGCGUAAGCAGUUAGAUCAAGGGUGCAAUGGCCUCUUGUAGGCCACGUCUGUCUGCUCCGUUCUCCGGCCGGUAGCAGAACAGGCGACACAAAGCUGGAGUGCCGCGCGAAACGCCGUGAUUCGCGUGAAAGAGGACUUUCGGGUCCAAACGGCUGGUUGCAGGUAACGGCUGCAGGUUCUCCGUCCGGCAACAAGAACAAAAAUCUGAUACGCUCGUAGAUGUUCGGCGCUCUAAUCUUUCGGACGCGGGUUCGAUUCCCGCCAUCUCCACCA